GCCGGGGUUUCUUUACCAGAUACUGUCAUUAUCAUCUCUGGCGAAAGAGCUUUACGACCCUAGGGCCUUCAUCACUCACGCGGCAUGGCUAGAUCAGGCUUGCGCCCAUUGUCUAAGAUUCCCC
This 124-nucleotide ribosomal RNA is filed under the name uncultured bacterium. Its description in RNAcentral is "partial 16S ribosomal RNA". The record is from RNAcentral.